RNAcentral lists this ribosomal RNA (497 nucleotides) under uncultured bacterium. RNAcentral's name for it is "partial 16S ribosomal RNA". It matches the Rfam family "Bacterial small subunit ribosomal RNA", at positions 28 to 507 of the family's 1533-position model. The record is from RNAcentral.
GAUGAACGCUGGCGGCGUGCCUAAUACAUGCAAGUCGAGCGAACAGACGAGGAGCUUGCUCCUCUGACGUUAGCGGCGGACGGGUGAGUAACACGUGGAUAACCUACCUAUAAGACUGAGAUAACUUCGGGAAACCGGAGCUAAUACCGGAUAAUAUAUUGAACCGCAUGGUUCAAUAGUGAAAGACGGUUUUGCUGUCACUUAUAGAUGGAUCCGCGCCGCAUUAGCUAGUUGGUAAGGUAACGGCUUACCAAGGCAACGAUGCGUAGCCGACCUGAGAGGGUGAUCGGCCACACUGGAACUGAGACACGGUCCAGACUCCUACGGGAGGCAGCAGUAGGGAAUCUUCCGCAAUGGGCGAAAGCCUGACGGAGCAACGCCGCGUGAGUGAUGAAGGUCUUCGGAUCGUAAAACUCUGUUAUUAGGGAAGAACAAAUGUGUAAGUAACUAUGCACGUCUUGACGGUACCUAAUCAGAAAGCCACGGCUAACUACGUG